AUGGCAAUGAUGGACGUCGAUGCUCCCUUUCUUGAGGAUAAGGAAGAGCCGCUCGCCGGCGUCUGCGACUUCCGCGGCCGCGCCGUCUACCGCACCACCUCCGGCGGGUGGCGAUCCGCCUUCUUCCUCGUCGUGGUGGAGGUCGCCGUCAUCAUCGCCUACUACGGCGUGUCGGCGAACCUGAUCACGUACCUGACAGGGCCGCUCGGCCAAUCCAACGCGGCGGCGGCCACGGCAGUGAACGUCUGGACGGGGACGGCCAGGCUCAUGCCGCUGCUGGGUGCCUUCGUCGCCGACUCCUGGUUGGGCCGCUACCGCUCCAUCAUCCUCGCCUGCACCCUCUAUGUCCUGGGCUAUGGCAUGAUCACUCUAGCAUCAACACUCCUGUCUCAGCGACCGUCUGCAUCCCUUGGCAAAGACUCCUCGUCUUCCCCUUUUUCGCUGGAGGUGUCCUUCUUCUAUGUCUCCCUCUAUCUCAUCGCGCUCGCGCAGGGUGUCGGCAAACCUUGUGGGCUUGCCUUCGCCGCAGAUCAAUUCGAUCCCAACCACGCUAGGGAGUUCACCGCCCGGAGCUCCCUCUUCAACUGGUGGCACUUCUUCAUAGCCAUUGGGAUCAGUUUCGCUGUCAUCGUUGUCAGCUACAUCCAGGAGAAUGUUGGUUGGGGAAUUGGCUUUGGCACGCUCUUCACCGUCAUGAUUUGCGCUUUUGUUGUCUUCCUCCUUGGCAUUCCCACCUACCGCCUCCAUGUGCCUGUCACUGGCUCUGAUAACCCUUUUGCUCGUCUUGGUCGUAGUGUCUUUGCGCUUGCUAGGAACUCAAGCUUCCGUGUCUGCGCUAAAAGACAUCAUCAUGAAGAUGAAGAUGUCGCAACCAGCAUGGAGGAGGCGCGUUGCGUGCUACAACUACUGCCGAUCUGGGCAGCAUGCCUAGCUUAUGGUGUGGUGAUUGCGCAGAUCAUGACACUUUUUAACAAGCAGGGACGCACCCUAAAUCGUCAUAUUGGUGGCCUAGAGCUACCUCCGGCCACAUUGCAAGUGUUCUGGCCGGCAGCCGGCUUACUGUUUGUGCCCAUCUAUGACCGUGUUCUAGUUCCGGCACUACGUUACACGACGGGCACCCCAUCGGGGUUGACGCUGUUGCAGCGAGUAGGUACGGGCAUGGUUGUCUCAAUGGUCGCCAUGUGUGUUGCGGCAUUGGUGGAGACCCAAAGGUUGGAGAUGGCACGGAAGAACAACCUAGUUGACAACGCCAUGGCGACGAUACCGAUGAGCUGGGCAUGGUUGGUUCCGCAGUAUGUGAUGAUUGGGGUGUCCGACGUGUUUGUGUUAGUCGGGAUGCAGGAGUUCUUCUAUGACCAAAUGCCCAGUGAGCUUCGCAGCCUUGGCAUAGCGCUCUUCUAUAGCGUGAUGGGAAUCGGCGGCUUCAUCAGCGGCGCUCUCAUAUCACUCAUGGACCACAUCACCCGCAGCGGUGGGGGCGAAAGCUGGUUCUCUAACAACCUCAAUCGCGCCCACCUUGACUACUUCUACUGGUUGCUCGCUGGCCUAAGUGCGGCCGAGCUUGCCCUCUAUAUCUACAUCACCAGAAACUAUGUCUACAAGGAAAAGAGUCAGCUGAGAGUGACAACCUAG
RNAcentral lists this ribosomal RNA (1632 nucleotides) under Triticum aestivum (bread wheat). Its description in RNAcentral is "partial small subunit ribosomal RNA". Lineage: Eukaryota; Viridiplantae; Streptophyta; Magnoliopsida; Poales; Poaceae. The record is from RNAcentral.